This 488-nucleotide ribosomal RNA is filed under the name uncultured bacterium. RNAcentral's name for it is "partial 16S ribosomal RNA". It matches the Rfam family "Bacterial small subunit ribosomal RNA", at positions 28 to 507 of the family's 1533-position model. The record is from RNAcentral.
GACGAACGCUGGCGGCGUGCUUAACACAUGCAAGUCGAACGAAAAUACCAAGCUUGCUUGGUUGAUUAGUGGCGAACGGGUGAGUAACACGUGAGUAACCUGCCCCUUACUUUCCUGGAUAACUGCUCGAACGGGUAGCUAAUACGGGAUAUUCUGACCAGCCUGCAUGGGUUGGUUUGGAAAGGUUGUUUUUCUGGUAAGGGAUGGGCUCGCGGCCUAUCAGCUUGUUGGUGGGGUGAUGGCCUACCAAGGCUUUGACGGGUAGCCGGCCUGAGAGGGUGGACGGUCACACUGGGACUGAGGUACGGCCCAGACUCCUACGGGAGGCAGCAGUGGGGAAUAUUGCACAAUGGGCGCAAGCCUGAUGCAGCGACGCCGCGUGAGAGAGGAAGGCCUUCGGGUUGUAAACCUCUUUCGUCAGGGAACAAGGCACUGCUUUUGUGGUGGUGUUGAGGGUACCUGGAUAAGAAGCGCCGGCUAACUACGUG